Molecule: long non-coding RNA, 984 nt
Filed under: Cyanistes caeruleus (blue tit)
Lineage: Eukaryota; Metazoa; Chordata; Aves; Passeriformes; Paridae
Description: lncRNA (ENSCCEG00000003318.1)
Source: RNAcentral
GUCCUCAUUUCUUCACUUUUAGAAGAAAUAAAGCAAUAAAAUGAAAAGAUAACCUGGAGAAAAGAAAGGGACGCUUAGUGUAUUUUAUCUUUUAUAAAAGUUGAGACAAAUUCAAUGCCAGUAAAAUUUCAGGGGGCUGUAUGAAGCCUAGCCUAGAGCGACCUACAGCAGGCAGCUCUGGAUAGCAGGAGGAGCUGCACACUGGUGCCUUGAAUUUAUACUCUGCAGCAGCUCUGACGCAUACGGUAGGUAGGUAGGUGGUCUGAGUGUGACUCCUGCAGCUUUUCUGGAUGCCAUCCAUAUCUGCGCUGCUGUUUGCUCCCAACUGCAUUUGACCUAGCACACUUUGUGCUUUUCAAUCUUGGCUGUAGAAAAGAGCAGAGAAAAGUAGAUGCAUAUAUUAAUAGGGGGUUGUAACACAAUAAAAGCCAAGUGGCAGAUGUCAGGAAAAGUCCAUUACCAUCACUCUUGUCUAUUGCUAAAGGACAGUUCUACCUCUGCUAAAAGUGCAUUUCUACCUGAGCAGGAAACAAGGCUGGAAAAGCCUAAUACUGAGAAACAAAAUUAACUCUCUGAAGAACAGAACCAGGUACAUGCAGACACUCAUGUGGAUUCUCUCACCUCCUUUCCCCCACAUCCCCCACCUGACUGCGUGUUGCUUUGGCCUCUCUCCAGCUGCAGCAGAAGGGAGAAGAAACAAAGGACUCCCAAGUGGGUCUGGAUUGCCUGUGGGGUCCGAGGCCCUGUGACCACACAUCUGUAAAUGGUGUCUUCCUUGAAGAGCUGGAGCUGUAGAGGGAGUUCUGAUGGAACCAGGCAAGAGACUUCCUCAAGAUGUCCUGAUGUUGAAGAGUAACUUCUGUGACAAAGGAAGAAGCCACCUGGUUAGAAGAUGUGGAAUGGGCACCGUCCUUGAGGGAUCACCAGGAGACUUUCAUGAGGAAAGAGCAGUACCAAUUCAGAUUUCCCCUAAGUGCUGGGCAU